AUAAGAGUAUACGCAACUACUAGAAAACAAGUUAACAAAAAUCCACAGCGCAUUAGGCUCUGAUAAAAAUAAAUAAAUAACAAGUUUAGACAUUAGGGCCCAUUAAAGAAAUUAAAAUUAAAAAGUAGAGAAAAAAAAUAUAUUUUAUAUUCAGUAUUUUUUUUUUUCCUUCUCUACUUCAGAAAGCUAGAUAGCACCGAGUUAUGACUAAUGAUGAGAACAAGGGGUUGUACAGAAUGAGAGAGCAAUUUAAUAGAUUCAAAAUAUUUUUCACAAUGAUUUUCUUCAAUUACAAUAGCUCUUAUUUAUACAGCUACCAACCCUUCCUAUAACUGUUCUCCCCAAAUACAACUUCCAUAACAACUUUCUGAUAUUAGGUUAGGAACCCUAACUAUUCAAUUAUCACAAGAAAAAAGAGAAGAAAGAACAAGGAAGAAGCCAAGGAAGUAGAUAGAGAAGGACAAAGAAUAGAGGAAGAAGAGAUUUAGAGAAAGGAAUAGAUUUCUUAUUGAUAAAGUUCUAGAAUGCCUAUACAGAGAGCUCUUCAGCUCUUCAUACCCUGUUUCCCACCAAAAUCCCAGCUACACUUCUGAUAACUGCCUCUAACAGAUUCUUUUCUCUUCUCUCAAUCUCUCUAAUCUUUCUUUUUUCUCUCUUCUUUCCCAAGAUAUCUUCCCUCUACUUCUUCUUUUCGUCUCUGUAUCAAAGC
RNAcentral lists this unclassified non-coding RNA (709 nucleotides) under Hevea brasiliensis (rubber tree). The record is from RNAcentral. Lineage: Eukaryota; Viridiplantae; Streptophyta; Magnoliopsida; Malpighiales; Euphorbiaceae.